GAUGAACGCUAUCUACAGGCUUAACACAUGCAAGUCGAGGGGUAACGAGAGGGAAGCUUGCUUUCCUUGUCGACGACCGGCGCACGGGUGAGUAACGCGUAUCCAACCUGCCCCCAACUAGGGAAUAACCUUGCGAAAGUAAGACUAAUACCCUAUAAUUUCCUCAGAUGACAUCUGACGAGGAAUAAAGAUUUAUCGGUUGUGGAUGGGGAUGCGUCUGAUUAGCUUGUUGGCGGGGUAACGGCCCACCAAGGCAACGAUCAGUAGGGGUUCUGAGAGGAAGGUCCCCAACAUUGGAACUGAGACACGGGCCAAACUCCUACGGGAGGCAGCAGUGAGGAAUAUUGGUCAAUGGGCGGAAGCCUGAACCAGCCAAGUAGCGUGCAGGAUGACGGCCCUAUGGGUUGUAAACUGCUUUUAUACAGGAAUAAAGUUAGCCACGUGUGGUUAUUUGUAGGUACUGUAUGAAUAAGGACCGGCUAAUUCCGUGCCAGCAGCAGCCGCAG
RNAcentral lists this ribosomal RNA (506 nucleotides) under uncultured bacterium. Its description in RNAcentral is "partial 16S ribosomal RNA". It matches the Rfam family "Bacterial small subunit ribosomal RNA", at positions 28 to 523 of the family's 1533-position model. The record is from RNAcentral.